ACAUGCCUACAGCAUAGCAUUAAUGCAUAGGAUCUCAUUAGAACUCGGCAAUUAAGCGCGCUCGUGCUAGAGUAGCACUUGGAUGGGUGACCACCAGGGAAUUCCUAGUGUUUUACAUGCC
This is a non-coding RNA of Picea glauca (white spruce), 121 nucleotides long. The record is from Rfam. Lineage: Eukaryota; Viridiplantae; Streptophyta; Pinopsida; Pinales; Pinaceae.